Molecule: ribosomal RNA, 403 nt
Filed under: uncultured bacterium
Lineage: Bacteria
Description: partial 16S ribosomal RNA
Rfam family: Bacterial small subunit ribosomal RNA
Source: RNAcentral
GACGAACGCUGGCGGCGUGCCUAAUACAUGCAAGUCGAACGCAGUGGGGACGGGUGAGUAACACGUGGGUAACCUCCCAUCAGAGGGGAUAACACUUGGAAACAGGUGCUAAACCGAUACUGAUGGAUGGACCCGCGGUGCAUUCGCUAGUUGGUGCGGUAACGGCCCACCAAGGCCACGAUGCAUAGCUGGUCUGAGAGGGUGAUAGGCCACACUGGGACUGAGACACGGCCCAGCCUCCUACGGGAGGCAGCAGUAGGGAAUAUUCGGCAAUGGACGAAAGUCUGACCCAGCAACGCCGCGUGAGUGAAGAAGGUUUUCGGAUCGUAAAGCUCUGUUGUUAGAGAAGCGGUAUCUAACCAGAAAGCCACGGCUAACUACGUGCCAGCAGCCGCGGUAAUUC